UAAUGUACUCCAAGAAAGAUUGGGUAAGU
RNAcentral lists this non-coding RNA (29 nucleotides) under Bombyx mori (domestic silkworm). The record is from RNAcentral. Lineage: Eukaryota; Metazoa; Arthropoda; Insecta; Lepidoptera; Bombycidae.